AGUUGUAUUUUCUUCUUUGCAAAAUCAAUUCUGAGAACAGGAAAGUGAGAAGUCAGAAGUAAUCCCAGGACUGCAGGUGACUCUUUCAACUGGCACCUGCAGGAAAUUCUUUUCAAAUCUCUUACCAGAUGUGCAAAGAAGCCUGUGUGUUCAGUAUUACCAUGCAAUGUACUGCAAGUCUCUGCGUGAUAGUUCCACACAAUGAGUGCCAGUGAAAUUAAAACUAGGUUCUGCU
Molecule: long non-coding RNA, 235 nt
Organism: Cyanistes caeruleus (blue tit)
Lineage: Eukaryota; Metazoa; Chordata; Aves; Passeriformes; Paridae
Source: RefSeq, a predicted model, not a curated record